AGUGAACGCUGGCGGUAGGCCUAACACAUGCAAGUCGAACGGCAGCACAGUAAGAGCUUGCUCUUACGGGUGGCGAGUGGCGGACGGGUGAGGAAUACAUCGGAAUCUACUUUUUCGUGGGGGCUAACGUAGGGAAACUUACGCUACUACCGCAUACGACCUACGGGUGAAAGCAGGGGAGCUUCGGACCUUGCGCGAUUGAAUGAGCCGAUGUCGGAUUAGCUAGUUGGCGGGGUAACGGCCCACCAAGGCUACGAUCCGUAGCUGGUCUGAGAGGAGGAUCAGCAACACUGGAACUGAGACACGGUCCAGACUCCUACGGGAGGCAGAAGUGGGGAAUAUUGGACAAUGGGCGCAAGCCUGAUCCAGCCAUACCGCGUGGGUGAAGAAGGCUUUCGGGUUGUAAAGCCCUUUUGUUGGGAAAGAAAAGCAGCAGGUUAAUACCCCGCUGUUCUGACGGUACCCAAAGAAUAAGCACCGGCUAACUUCGUG
This 492-nucleotide ribosomal RNA is filed under the name uncultured bacterium. Its description in RNAcentral is "partial 16S ribosomal RNA". It matches the Rfam family "Bacterial small subunit ribosomal RNA", at positions 29 to 507 of the family's 1533-position model. The record is from RNAcentral.